Molecule: long non-coding RNA, 1728 nt
Filed under: Marmota monax (woodchuck)
Lineage: Eukaryota; Metazoa; Chordata; Mammalia; Rodentia; Sciuridae
Source: RNAcentral
GUAGGCAGAGCCCCCGGCCCCGGCUCCCGGGGGCACCACACCUGUUCUCUCCUCCCACAGCACGCAGGGCCCCUCUUCUGUGGCCAGGCCCCCAGGCCCUUGCCCAGCCCUGGAGGGAAACUCCUCUGUCCCUUGAGCCUGCGAGCUUAGCCCAGAACCCCUGCUCCGCCCUCUGCCCUUUCCCACUGUGGCUGGGAAGGGCCACCAGACGGGGACGAGGAGCCACCUCUGCGAGAUCCUUCGUCUGCUUCAUUGGAUCCAAAAGGGGAAAGUGCAGGAGGAAGCCUGGGCCCGACUGCCCACCUGGGCCUGGCUCUGUGGCCUGGCUGGUGUCCACAGGUGAGCCCAGCAGGAGGGUGGGGGAUGGGCAGGGUGCUCAGGCCUGGCCGCGGGCGACCACAUCGGCACCCCUCCAGCCGUUGUUCACCCAGUCACCGUGGGCAGAGCACAUGUGAACCAGGGCCUGAGCUGGUCCCCAGCGGUGGCAGCGAGGUGGGCACUUGGCCCCUGUGUGCUCAGGCCAGACUGGUGUCCGUCUAAGGGCUGCCCAGAAAACCUGCGUGGGGAGCCCAGCGGCACGGGAAGUGCUUUCCUCCAAAGCCGGGUGGCUGCCGUGUUGCUGGGGGUGGGAAGGUGCGGCCCCCAGGGCCAGCAGACGCACAGCAGGCUUUAUCCAGGGAGAUGAGCUUUAUCCAGGCUCAUCCACAUGACGAUUCCUGACCAGAGACCUGCAGAGAGAGUUCAGAGCAGGUGCGUCCCUAACAGUGACACCUGGGUCCCAGAGCGCCUGGGUGGCCAACAGGACCGGGCUGCUCCCGCAGUGCAGAGAGAAACAGCGUGGACGCAGCCUGGAUGGCCUCAGAGGCACUUAGCAGAGUGAGGAAGACAGAAAUCAGACCUUGGGUGCCCAUUAUAGAACCUUCUGGAAAAGACAAAGUUACAGUGGUGAGGACAGACCAGCGGACGUAGGGGGGGACAUCCAGGGACAUUCACGCGAUGGGCUCUUCUGGAUCCCCGGGUGGUGGCACAACUCUGUGCAGGUGUUAAGUCCUUAGACGUGCCCAGUGCAAGAGAGCCAAGGACUCUGUUCACGAUGACCCUCCCUCAGGAGCUCGGAGGAAACCACACUGCCCCGUCGCAGGAGCUGCUGUGUGAACAGUCAUGGCGGCAGAGGAGCUGGACACUGGUGCUGCCCCUGCUGAAGUAGUCCAGACAUGAACGCAGAGAAGGGGAAGCAGAGUCAGCACCCAGGCCCCCGACGACGAUGAUCACAACCGGAAAAGCCCCGACCGGCAGAACCCAGGAAGAAGCCCGUGGUGGCCGAGCCUUGGGGACCGCCCAGCGCUGGGCUCCCGGCCGGCCACUUCACAACUCCUUCCUUCAGGAGACAGAGCUUCAGGUGGUCCAUCCACUGCAGAGCUGCUGGGCCUAGCGACGGCACCCACUGAGCAGAGCAGAGGAGGCCAGGCCAGGCCGUGGCCCUGACCAGGUGGGGCCACAGAGCCUCUGGCUCUUUCCAGAAGAGAAGCCGUGUAGCCGUGUCCUGCAGCCCACCUCGAGAGAAGUGGGACGGCUGAGGGGGGGGUGCGGUAUGGGAGCCCCCAGAGCUCCCCACAGGUGAGGGAGCAGGGACUGCCUGAUCAAGGGACAGGCAGCCGCCUAGUGAGGACCCGGGGACAGCAAGGCGUGUGUGGAAGACAGGGUCUGGUGGCCUGUGGUCUGGCUAGG